This 784-nucleotide ribosomal RNA is filed under the name uncultured bacterium. Its description in RNAcentral is "bacterial SSU rRNA". It matches the Rfam family "Bacterial small subunit ribosomal RNA", at positions 118 to 905 of the family's 1533-position model. The record is from RNAcentral.
UAUGCAAUCUACCUUUUACAGAGGGAUAGCCCAGAGAAAUUUGGAUUAAUACCUCAUAGUAUAACGAGUUCGCAUGAAUUUGUUAUUAAAGUCACAACGGUAAAAGAUGAGCAUGCGUCCCAUUAGCUAGUUGGUAAGGUAACGGCUUACCAAGGCAACGAUGGGUAGGGGUCCUGAGAGGGAGAUCCCCCACACUGGUACUGAGACACGGACCAGACUCCUACGGGAGGCAGCAGUGAGGAAUAUUGGUCAAUGGGCGCAAGCCUGAACCAGCCAUGCCGCGUGCAGGAUGACGGUCCUAUGGAUUGUAAACUGCUUUUGCACAGGAAGAAACACUACCUCGUGAGGUAGCUUGACGGUACUGUGAGAAUAAGGAUCGGCUAACUCCGUGCCAGCAGCCGCGGUAAUACGGAGGAUCCAAGCGUUAUCCGGAAUCAUUGGGUUUAAAGGGUCCGUAGGCGGUUUAGUAAGUCAGUGGUGAAAGCCCAUCGCUCAACGGUGGAACGGCCAUUGAUACUGCUAGACUUGAAUUAUUAGGAAGUAACUAGAAUAUGUAGUGUAGCGGUGAAAUGCUUAGAGAUUACAUGGAAUACCAAUUGCGAAGGCAGGUUACUACUAAUGGAUUGACGCUGAUGGACGAAAGCGUGGGUAGCGAACAGGAUUAGAUACCCUGGUAGUCCACGUUGUAAACGAUGGAUACUAGCUGUUGGGAGCGAUCUCAGUGGCUAAGCGAAAGUGAUAAGUAUCCCACCUGGGGAGUACGUUCGCAAGAAUGAAACUCAAA